Molecule: long non-coding RNA, 203 nt
Filed under: Gossypium barbadense (sea-island cotton)
Lineage: Eukaryota; Viridiplantae; Streptophyta; Magnoliopsida; Malvales; Malvaceae
Description: long non-coding RNA (GBAR_LNC006085)
Source: RNAcentral
AGAUCUUCAGUCUUGAAGGAGAAUCCGGCUUCUGAGAUGGAUAAAUUGGCUUUCUUUAAGUAAUUCAUUGCCUCCCACUCUGUGUGUUUUCUAGGUGCCCUUCUAGGGUGUUUAUAUAGGCUUUAGCAUGCUUCCAAACCCUCAAAAGUGGCCUUUUCCGAAUAGAACUAGACUUGGGCUCGAUAGGGACACGGCCGUGUGAC